Molecule: non-coding RNA, 1600 nt
Organism: Arachis ipaensis
Lineage: Eukaryota; Viridiplantae; Streptophyta; Magnoliopsida; Fabales; Fabaceae
Source: RefSeq, a predicted model, not a curated record
UAUUUAAUAUUGUCAUUACAGUUAUUAAUCCGUCAUUUUCUAUUUGUUGCCUUCUUUUGCACCUUGUAUCAUUGAUGAUCACAGUUAGCAUAGCAUCACAAAAAAUAAACAAGUCUUCUACUCUAGAAGGUACUUAUCUUGUCUCAUUCAUUAAUUCACAUUCAUUUUGCUUCUUGAUUACUAGUAUUAACAUGAGUACUUCUUUGAUUGACACAUAAAACUUGUCUUGAAAGUACUGAAGAUUCUAAUGUACAUAUGAUAUUUGUUGGAUCGCUAAUAAGCAAUAAUUUUUAAAUAAAGUCUUUGAGCCUUAACAAGUGUAAAUGAAUAUGUGUUUUCCUUUUUUUUCUUCCUUUUUUACUUGCAUCAACUUGCGUUGAACAUUGCAAGUGAUCCAGUUUUCAUUCCAGUUCCUGAUAACUCUGCCAAUAAGAGGAGGUUUACUCUGUCUUGCCCUUAGAAACUAUGCUCAUGUUCCGUUUAUGAAGUGUCUCUAAUGUUGUGGACGUGAUUGAGAAUUAGUGAUUGCUGAUAAGGAGGUCUAGUGUAGCUUGAAUCAAAUAAUUCCCUGCUCUUACUUAUCCAUAAUAAGUGCCAAUAAGAGGGAUAGCUUCAUAACUCACAGGGCAUUUUGUAAUCCAUUGGCAGAAGAAACAGCUCAAAAUUAGAAGCAAUUCAUCUCAGAAACAGCUCAGAAAAAGCUUCAUCUCUUACCAGUUUUUUCUAUUGUUUUUCAACAAGCGCUUGUUGAGGUUUUCUGUGUAGUUUUCUGUGUGUAUAGAAAGGAAAUAGUACCACUACAGACCAUCAGAACUAUGUCUGUACAUAGAUAUAUGAGGUAACACUAUCUCUCUUCUCCUAUUCAGUUACUUGAUCGAUCUCUUUCUUAUCUUAGUUUCAUUUUAAUCUUUUCUCUUGUAAAGAUAAUCUCUCUUUUUCAAUUCUCAAGUUAGUUUGGGCAUAAUGUCCAGCUUUUGCUUUAACACCCUUUACGAUCACUGAGGUUGUCCAUGAGUCCAAGCUCCCAAUCAAGUUGUGUCACAUCCUCACAACAAGCAUCACAUGCUGUCAUGAGCACUACAAAGAAGAGGGUGCAUGACGAAAUGGUGGAGCAGAACCAGAAGCAAAUUACUCAGAAAAUCCAUUGAUACCUUUGGCUAGAGAACAUCUCAAUAUAGAGGUGUUACAAGGGUAUUGUGAGGCUCAAACCCUGCUUGGACUUUCUUUCCGAGGUUGGCCCUUACAAGAUUAUGGAUGGAAUAUUGUGGCCAAUUUUAGAGGUAGUAAUGUCCGUAUUGGAGGAGAUGAACUUGUCAGAGGACACUAUAAUAAAGAGACAAAGAACUGUGUAAGGGCUUGCUAUUUAUACUGCUUGAAGUCAUGUAUCAAGUACCUUGAGAAGGAAUACAGAGCUCUUUGUAAAGUAUAGCAUCUUUUGUUUUUUCUAAAAUUAGCUUUACUGUUUACUUUCAUUCAGAGUUUAUAUGUUUACUUAUUCUGGUGAAUUAAAACUAUAUGCUUGCAUGUUUGUAUCAUUUCAUUUGUUCCCUUUCAGACUUUUAUUUCUUCUUGAAUUUUGUGCAUCUCGAAUGGAUAAUUU